GGAAGUGUGGCCGAGUGGUCCAAGGUGCUGACAGUCUCUCAGGAGGCGUGAGUUCUAAUCCCACUGCUGCCA
This 72-nucleotide transfer RNA is filed under the name Perca flavescens (yellow perch). It matches the Rfam family "tRNA". From Rfam's summary of the family: Transfer RNA (tRNA) molecules are approximately 80 nucleotides in length. Their secondary structure includes four short double-helical elements and three loops (D, anti-codon, and T loops). The record is from Rfam by way of RNAcentral. Lineage: Eukaryota; Metazoa; Chordata; Actinopteri; Perciformes; Percidae.